ACAAGCCACAGAAGUUCCAGAAGGAUUUCUAAAGAAGAUAACUCCUAAACUGAAUCUGAUACAAUAAAUGACCUAGGAAACAAGCAAAAGGUCCCACUAAGAUAAUGUUAACUGUCAGCAACAAGAAGAGUUGAGUAUUUACUAUAUGCUAGGUGCAAUGAGGGACACCUGGAAGAAUCAGAGACAAGGAAGACAACCAGGACAUUCAGACCCAUCAGAGGAGUCCUGAAGUUAGAGGGGCUCAUCCUAUCUGGGAAUAAAGAGAGCGGAAGAAACUUCCACGCCUUUUAUGAUAUUUGAAAAGACUCCUCCAAGGUCCACAUCCAGUGUGGAGCCCAGUGGAGGGUUUGGACUCACAACCCUGAGAUGAUGACCUGAGCUAAGUAAGAUCAAGAGUUGAGUGCUUAACUGACUGAGCACCCGAGGUGCCCCAGUUACAUUUGUCUUGACAAAAGUCUGUAUCACAAGUAUAUAUAUUUGUCAAACUCAUUUAACUUUGCACUUAAAUUUUUUUUCUUCUUGUUGUUUUACCGAAAAAAAAAAUUCCAAGCUAACAUUGAUCUUCAAUUAAUGGUACACAUACUGAAGU
Long non-coding RNA from Nyctereutes procyonoides (raccoon dog), 589 nucleotides. RefSeq lists it as uncharacterized. The record is from RefSeq and is a predicted model, not a curated record. The transcript has 4 exons. Lineage: Eukaryota; Metazoa; Chordata; Mammalia; Carnivora; Canidae.